Long non-coding RNA from Dioscorea cayenensis subsp. rotundata (Guinea yam), 690 nucleotides. RefSeq lists it as uncharacterized. The record is from RefSeq and is a predicted model, not a curated record. The transcript has 4 exons. Lineage: Eukaryota; Viridiplantae; Streptophyta; Magnoliopsida; Dioscoreales; Dioscoreaceae.
CGCUCAGCAACCUUUCUCAUGCUGGAGUUUUCCAACAACCUUCUCACCCAAGAGCCCAUCCGACAAGGCAAUAAGAAUGGAAGCUAGCGCCAAAGCCGACGAGCCUUUAACAUUCUCACCCUAGAGUUUCGGUUUAUUGAUUUUGUUUCCAUACAAAAAUUGGGAUAGUAGAAGAUAUUUUGGAGCUAAUAACCUGAAGAGAAAGGUUUACCAGACAAGCUCAAACUCAAAGCUCUGUAUUCCAUGGAGAUUUUUCAGUUCAUGAGUUUCUUCUUCAUGCCAUUGAUACUUUCAAUCCAAAUACAGUUCUGAUAGUGCUGCAGGACAAGCCAAAGGUGGAUGCUAUGUAACUUCAAAAAACAGGGGAUGUGCUUUUGACAAAAGUGAAGGUUUGCCUGAAAGAUAGGAACUCUCAAAUUCGCUUGAGUUGCAGCUUGUGGCACCCUAAAACUUCUAUGCAAGAGAAACUCUGUAUCACACUAAAACUUCUAUAAAUCUUUGAAACAUGCUGCAUGUUUAAUCUUUGUAAUGUUAUUAAUCUUUGCCAUGUGUAUAUGCAUAGGCUCAUUCCGAUUGCUUUUAGGGAAUUGCUGCCAUCAUUCAAUUGGAAUCCAUUGAUAGAAUUAAGCUUAUUAUUUCAGACUAUAUGUUCUAUUGUGCUUGACAUUGACAAAGUUAUUAAUUUAGAAG